This is a non-coding RNA of Trichoderma gamsii, 87 nucleotides long. The record is from Rfam. NCBI's taxonomy places the organism in Eukaryota, Fungi, Ascomycota, Sordariomycetes, Hypocreales, Hypocreaceae.
UUUUAUAUGAUGUACAAAUAUCACGACGGUCAACUUAGCCAUAUGCUCUGAUGAUAACGCCUGUGACAAGGCACUUUAUCCCUGAUA